Molecule: long non-coding RNA, 520 nt
Organism: Acyrthosiphon pisum (pea aphid)
Lineage: Eukaryota; Metazoa; Arthropoda; Insecta; Hemiptera; Aphididae
Exons: 2
Source: RefSeq, a predicted model, not a curated record
GUUGGACUACUAUGUCUAGGUCCAAUAUGAGGUUGGGGAAUUGCUCGUCCUUUUUCCAUUAAUGCUGGAUGCAUUGUUGCUUUGGAGGCCCUUAAGUGAACAGGAGUUCUUUCUUGCGGAAUAUUAUCUAAAAAAAGGAAUUGUGAUGGAAAUGUUGGACGACUCCUUACACAUUUCAGAAAAAAUAGAAUGCGGAACAAUAAUACAACAUUAAUAAUGAUAAUAAUUAUAUAUUUUUACAACAGUAUAUAAUAUUAUACAACAAGUUAUAGUAUAGGUACAUUUUGUUUAUCUUUUUUAUAUAUAUAUAAAUAUAUAAUAUAGUAUUCUACUUUUUUUUAUAGUAGUGUAGUUGAUCACACACUUGUCUACAGUAAUCACUUAAGGUCAACACACUUGGGUAGUAUAAUAAUGCUAUAACUCUUAUGAUAUCAUAUUCGAUAAAUAAUUUAAAUAAUAAUGUGUCUGUUUCAUUUUGCAUAUAUUUAUUGUACUGAGAAAAAUAUAAAAUAUUUUAUUU